UGUUGAGUUGGCUAACAUAGUCAUCAAUAAACAUUAAGAUCAUGUAACAAAAAGGGAUUACAACAUCUAUAGGGUUAAGCACAACUUCUAAUCCUCAAUAUCAUUAUACAUAACAUAACUAUUCAGUUAUACAUCAUCUUACAAUUUAUCAUGUCCACUUUCUAACUAUUACAAUUACAAGACUUUACUCUUCUUGACUUCUCUGUCUAGUCCGUACCUGCAAUCCUGGGGGAUUAGGGAAAAGGGGUGAGCUACUCGAGCCCAGUGAGCAGAAUAAUAGAAAACAUCAUUUAAAUCUCAUGCCAUCAUGUAAUGCAACACAUCACAACAAAUCACAUCUCGGAUGGUAUUGUCACCAAUAGUCCUCUACAUUCCAAAGUGCCGGGACGUAGAAUGGGUACAACCGGUCUUUCUCUUAACAUAACAUAUCAUACAUACCAAUGUGCCAGGGACGUAGAAUGGGUACAACCUGGACUUUCUCUUACAUAGUGCCAGGGACGUAGAAUGGGUACAACCUGGACUUCCAUACCAUAUCAUGCCGUAGCAUCAUCAUGCCAUAUGAGGACUAAAGGAUCAUUCAAUAACCAAUCCACAUCAAAAUCAUAAAUGCAAUGCAACAUAUUCGUGAAUUCUAAUGCAAACAACCUAAUUCAUC
RNAcentral lists this long non-coding RNA (655 nucleotides) under Manihot esculenta (cassava). Its description in RNAcentral is "long non-coding RNA (MESC_LNC003145)". Lineage: Eukaryota; Viridiplantae; Streptophyta; Magnoliopsida; Malpighiales; Euphorbiaceae. The record is from RNAcentral.